GUGCCAGCCGCCGCGGUAACACGGAGGGAGCAAACGUUGUUCGGAAUCACUGGGCGUAAAGGGCGCGUAGGCGGCUUCUUGAGUCGAGGGUGAAAACCUAUGGCUUAACCAUAGGCCUGCCCCCGAAACUGGGGAGCUUGAGGCCGUAAGAGGAAAGCGGAAUUCCUGGUGUAUCGGUGAAAUGAGUUGAUAUCAGGAGGAACACCGGUGGCGAAGGCGGCUUUCUGGUGCGGUUCUGACGCUGAGGUGCGAAAGCAUGGGGAGCAAACGGGAUUAGAUACCCCAGUAGUCC
Molecule: ribosomal RNA, 292 nt
Filed under: uncultured bacterium
Lineage: Bacteria
Description: partial 16S ribosomal RNA
Rfam family: Bacterial small subunit ribosomal RNA
Source: RNAcentral